This 255-nucleotide ribosomal RNA is filed under the name uncultured bacterium. RNAcentral's name for it is "partial 16S ribosomal RNA". It matches the Rfam family "Bacterial small subunit ribosomal RNA", at positions 524 to 776 of the family's 1533-position model. The record is from RNAcentral.
UACGGAGGGUGCAAGCGUUAUCCGGAUUUACUGGGUUUAAAGGGUGUGUAGGCGGUAUUUAAGGUCAGUGGUGAAAUCUCCGACGCUCAACUUGGAAACAUGCCUUGAUAUAUUUACUUGUAAUUUGAUUUGUGGUGAGGCGGAAUAAGUCAUGUAGCGGUGAAAUGCAUAGAUAUGACUUAGAACACCAAUUGCGAAGGCAGCUUGCUAAACAAAUAUUGACGCUGAGGCACGAAAGCGUGGGGAUCAAACAGG